CAGUCGCCACGGGAAUACGAAGGGUGCAAGCGUUACUCGGAAUUACUGGGCGUAAAGCGUGCGUAGGUGGUGGUUUAAGUCCGUUGUGAAAGCCCUGGGCUCAACCUGGGAAUUGCAGUGGAUACUGGGUCACUAGAGUGUGGUAGAGGAUAGUGGAAUUUCCGGUGUAGCAGUGAAAUGCGUAGAGAUCGGAAGGAACAUCUGUGGCGAAGGCGACUAUUUGGGCCAACACUGACACUGAGGCACGAAAGCGUGGGGAGCAAACAGGAUUAGAUACCCGUGUAGUCCCUGUCUCUUAUAC
This 301-nucleotide ribosomal RNA is filed under the name uncultured bacterium. RNAcentral's name for it is "partial 16S ribosomal RNA". It matches the Rfam family "Bacterial small subunit ribosomal RNA", at positions 509 to 807 of the family's 1533-position model. The record is from RNAcentral.